RNAcentral lists this transfer RNA (108 nucleotides) under Pseudozyma flocculosa. RNAcentral describes it as "Anthracocystis flocculosa transfer RNA-Val(AAC)". The record is from RNAcentral. Lineage: Eukaryota; Fungi; Basidiomycota; Ustilaginomycetes; Ustilaginales; Ustilaginaceae.
GGUUUCUUGGCGCAGUUGGUCAGCGCGUCUCCUUAACAAGCCAUGUACAGCUCGACUGUGCGGGACGUUAAUCGGAGGAGGUCCUCAGUUCGAGCCUGGGAGAGAUCA